RNAcentral lists this ribosomal RNA (317 nucleotides) under uncultured delta proteobacterium B2M33. RNAcentral's name for it is "bacterial SSU rRNA". It matches the Rfam family "Bacterial small subunit ribosomal RNA", at positions 1084 to 1403 of the family's 1533-position model. Lineage: Bacteria; Deltaproteobacteria. The record is from RNAcentral.
GUCCCGCAACGAGCGCAACCCUUGUCUUUAGUUACCAUCAUUCAGUUGGGGACUCUAAAGAUACUGCCCCGGUCAACGGGGGAGGAAGGUGGGGAUGACGUCAAGUCCUCAUGGCCUUUAUGUCCAGGGCUACACACGUGCUACAAUGGGCUGUACAAAGGGUCGCGAACCCGCGAGGGUAAGCCAAUCCCAAAAAGCAGUCCCAAGUUCGGAUUGGAGUCUGCAACUCGACUCCAUGAAGCUGGAAUCGCUAGUAAUCGCGGAUCAGCAUGCCGCGGUGAAUACUCCCGGGCCUUGUACACACCGCCCGUCACACA